UGCAAGUCGAGCGGUAGAGAGAAGCUUGCUUCUCUUGAGAGCGGCGGACGGGUGAGUAAUGCCUAGGAAUCUGCCUGGUAGUGGGGGAUAACGUUCGGAAACGGACGCUAAUACCGCAUACGUCCUACGGGAGAAAGCAGGGGACCUUCGGGCCUUGCGCUAUCAGAUGAGCCUAGGUCGGAUUAGCUAGUUGGUGAGGUAAUGGCUCACCAAGGCGACGAUCCGUAACUGGUCUGAGAGGAUGAUCAGUCACACUGGAACUGAGACACGGUCCAGACUCCUACGGGAGGCAGCAGUGGGGAAUAUUGGACAAUGGGCGAAAGCCUGAUCCAGCCAUGCCGCGUGUGUGAAGAAGGUCUUCGGAUUGUAAAGCACUUUAAGUUGGGAGGAAGGGCCAUUACCUAAUACGUGAUGGUUUUGACGUUACCGACAGAAUAAGCACCGGCUAACUCUGUGCCAGCAGCCGCGGUAAUACAGAGGGUGCAAGCGUUAAUCGGAAUUACUGGGCGUAAAGCGCGCGUAGGUGGUUUGUUAAGUUGGAUGUGAAAUCCCCGGGCUCAACCUGGGAACUGCAUUCA
This 578-nucleotide ribosomal RNA is filed under the name Pseudomonas sp. VPMK3. RNAcentral describes it as "bacterial SSU rRNA". It matches the Rfam family "Bacterial small subunit ribosomal RNA", at positions 56 to 629 of the family's 1533-position model. The record is from RNAcentral. Lineage: Bacteria; Pseudomonadati; Pseudomonadota; Gammaproteobacteria; Pseudomonadales; Pseudomonadaceae.